UACGAAGGGUGCAAGCGUUACUCGGAAUUACUGGGCGUAAAGCGUGCGUAGGUGGUGAGUUAAGUCUGUCGUGAAAGCCCCGGGCUCAACCUGGGAAUGGCAGUGGAUACUGGACAGCUAGAGUGCGGUAGAGGGUAGUGGAAUUCCCGGUGUAGCAGUGAAAUGCGUAGAGAUCGGGAGGAACACCAGUGGCGAAGGCGGCUACCUGGACCAGCACUGACACUGAAGCACGAAAGCGUGGGGAGCAAACAGG
RNAcentral lists this ribosomal RNA (253 nucleotides) under uncultured bacterium. RNAcentral's name for it is "partial 16S ribosomal RNA". It matches the Rfam family "Bacterial small subunit ribosomal RNA", at positions 524 to 776 of the family's 1533-position model. The record is from RNAcentral.